GGAAGCCGAGCCGUUAAGAGCAGGCACGCUCACCAAUGCGAUAACCACGAAGGUUUUGGAAGCCUUUUCAAUUUUAUAAUAAUUUUUAGUGAUAUUGGUGAUUGGUCAGAAGGCUCUCUCAACUUUUAACGUUCAAAAAAGCUAAAGGGCGAAGCGCGUGUGCGAAGUGUGGAUGCAGAUUGCAGGCUACAAAGCUCCACUUUAAUUGGAAAGUGGGGCCCACGUCCCUUGCUUCGCUUUAUAUUUCGCCCUCUUUCUUUCUCUUCUCAGCGCGUCUUCCCACCUCCUCCGCACUCGUACAGAAAACUAAAUGAUUCGAAAAAGAUCGCCAGGAUCGGAUGGAAUCAGGGACUCUGUUAGGAGUGAGUCGUGAUGUGAUAUUUACGAAAUUAAUAAAUGUAAUGCAGUUUGCUACCAACGGUCCAUAAACUAAUUGCUC
RNAcentral lists this long non-coding RNA (439 nucleotides) under Vitis vinifera (wine grape). Its description in RNAcentral is "long non-coding RNA (VVIN_LNC002494)". Lineage: Eukaryota; Viridiplantae; Streptophyta; Magnoliopsida; Vitales; Vitaceae. The record is from RNAcentral.